GGAGUGGCGGACGGGUGAGUAACACGUGGGUAACCUACCCAUCAGAGGGGGAUAACACUUGGAAACAGGUGCUAAUACCGCAUAACAGUUUAUGCCGCAUGGCAUAAGAGUGAAAGGCGCUUUCGGGUGUCGCUGAUGGAUGGACCCGCGGUGCAUUAGCUAGUUGGUGAGGUAACGGCUCACCAAGGCCACGAUGCAUAGCCGACCUGAGAGGGUGAUCGGCCACACUGGGACUGAGACACGGCCCAGACUCCUACGGGAGGCAGCAGUAGGGAAUCUUCGGCAAUGGACGAAAGUCUGACCGAGCAACGCCGCGUGAGUGAAGAAGGUUUUCGGAUCGUAAAACUCUGUUGUUAGAGAAGAACAAGGACGUUAGUAACUGAACGUCCCCUGACGGUAUCUAACCAGAAAGCCACGGCUAACUACGUGCCAGCAGCCGCGGUAAUACGUAGGUGGCAAGCGUUGUCCGGAUUUAUUGGGCGUAAAGCGAGCGCAGGCGGU
Molecule: ribosomal RNA, 501 nt
Filed under: Enterococcus faecalis
Lineage: Bacteria; Bacillati; Bacillota; Bacilli; Lactobacillales; Enterococcaceae
Description: bacterial SSU rRNA
Rfam family: Bacterial small subunit ribosomal RNA
Source: RNAcentral